GGGGCAUGUGAGGGCUGUCGCCGACUCAAAGUCGUGCACGCCCGAGCGUGUCCUCUCACAUAAUAAUCCAUCUCACCCUUUGUGCAUCGCCGCGUGGGCACCCUUUGGGAUCAUCUCGGAGGGGGCUCGCGUUUUCACACAAACCCCCCUUUUAAAAGUGUAGAAUGACCUCAUUUAUGCGCUAACCCGCAAUCAAUACAACUUUCAACAACGGAUCUCUUGGCCCUCGCAUCGAUGAAGAACGCAGCGAAAUGCGAUACGUAAUGUGAAUUGCAGAAUUCAGUGAAUCAUCGAAUCUUUGAACGCACCUUGCGCCCCUUGGUAUUCCGAGGGGCACACCCGUUUGAGUGUCGUGAAAACCUCAACCUCUUUGGUUUCUUCUGGAGACCAAAGCAGGCUUGGACUUUGGAGGCCUUUGCUGGCACCUCUCUCUUUUGAAGGUCAGCUCCUCUUAAACGAAUUAGCAGGGUCCUCUUUGCCGAUCCUCGACGUGUGAUAAGAUGUUUCCAUGUCUUGGUUUCUGGCUCUGUCACUUUUGGNCCCGCUUCUAACCGUCUUGACCUUGCGUCGAGACAAGUGCUCGAGCAUGUCUCCCUUCUUNNNAGCUCCCUCGACCCCACGAACCCUUGA
This 630-nucleotide ribosomal RNA is filed under the name uncultured Lactarius. RNAcentral's name for it is "eukaryotic LSU rRNA". The stretch from base 200 to 353 matches the Rfam family "5.8S ribosomal RNA". The record is from RNAcentral. Lineage: Eukaryota; Fungi; Basidiomycota; Agaricomycetes; Russulales; Russulaceae.